CAGUCGCCACGGUAAUACGUAGGGCGCGAGCGUUAAUCGGAAUUACUGGGCGUAAAGCGUGCGCAGGCGGUUGUGUAAGACAGGUGUGAAAUCCCCGGGCUUAACCUGGGAACUGCGCUUGUGACUGCACAGCUAGAGUAUGGCAGAGGGGGGUGGAAUUCCACGUGUAGCAGUGAAAUGCGUAGAGAUGUGGAGGAACACCGAUGGCGAAGGCAGCCCCCUGGGCCAAUACUGACGCUCAUGCACGAAAGCGUGGGGAGCAAACAGGAUUAGAUACCCGGGUAGUCCCUGUCUCUUAUAC
RNAcentral lists this ribosomal RNA (301 nucleotides) under uncultured bacterium. RNAcentral describes it as "partial 16S ribosomal RNA". It matches the Rfam family "Bacterial small subunit ribosomal RNA", at positions 509 to 807 of the family's 1533-position model. The record is from RNAcentral.